UGUUGUAAAGUAGGUACAUCGUCGAUGC
Molecule: small RNA, 28 nt
Filed under: Bombyx mori (domestic silkworm)
Lineage: Eukaryota; Metazoa; Arthropoda; Insecta; Lepidoptera; Bombycidae
Description: ovarian small RNA-36187
Source: RNAcentral